AGAGUUUGAUCCUGGCUCAGAACGAACGCUGGCGGCGUGGCUAAGGCAUGCAAGUCGAACGGACUCCUGGAUGGGUAACCUGAAGGGAAGUUAGUGGCGAACGGGUGAGGAAUGCAUGGAUAACGUACCCCAGACACAGGGAUAGCGGCGGAACUUCGGUUCCUUUGCGAAAGUGCCGGUAAUACCUGAUGACCCCACGGUACAGCAUGGUGCGGUGGGAAAAUGCUCCGACGGUCUGGGAGCGGUUCAUGUCCUAUCAGCUUGUUGGUGGGGUAACGGCCCACCAAGGCAACGACGGGUAGCGGGCGUGAGAGCGCGUCCCGCCACAUCGGAACUGAGACACUGUCCGGACACCUACGGGUGGCUGCAGCAACGAAUAUUCCCCAAUGGACGCAAGUCUGAGGGAGCGACGCCGCGUGCAGGAAGAAGUCCUUCGGGAUGUAAACUGCUGUCAGGGGUGAGGAAGAUCUGACCAACCCCAGAGGAAGCACCGGCUAACUCCGUGCCAGCAGCCGCGGUAAUACGGAGGGUGCAAGCGUUGUUCGGAAUCACUGGGCUUAAAGCGCGUGUAGGCGGAGUAUCAGGUGCCUUGUGAAAGCCCCGGGCUCAACCCGGGAAUUGCUGGGCAAACCGGUAUUCUUGAGGCAAGUAGAGGUGAGUGGAACAACUGGUGGAGCGGUGAAAUGCGUAGAUAUCGGUUGGAACGCCGGAGGCGAAAGCGGCUCACUGGGCUUGUCCUGACGCUGAGACGCGAAGGCGUGGGUAGCAAACAGGAUUAGAUACCCUGGUAGUCCACGCCGUAAACGAUGCGCACUAGGUAUGAGAGGUUCUGACGCCGAUCGUGCCGAAGCAAAAGUGGUAAGUGCGCCGCCUGGGGAGUACGGCCGCAAGGCUAAAACUCAAAGGAAUUGACGGGGGCUCACACAAGCGGUGGAGCAUGUGGAUUAAUUCGAAACUACGCGAAGAACCUUACCUGGGUUUGACAUGCUUGGAUGCUCUCUUGGAAACAGGAGUAGGCUGCCUUCGGGUGAAACUUGCACAGGUGCUGCAUGGCUGUCGUCAGCUCGUGCUGUGAAGUGUCGGGUUAAGUCCCUUAACGAGCGAAACCCCUAUCGUUAGUUGCCAGCGGGUCAUGCCGGGGACUCUAGCGAGACCGCCGACGUCAAGUCGGAGGAAGGUGGGGACGACGGCAAGUCAUCAUGGUCCUUACGCCCAGGGUGUCUCACGUGC
Molecule: ribosomal RNA, 1230 nt
Filed under: metagenome
Description: bacterial SSU rRNA
Rfam family: Bacterial small subunit ribosomal RNA
Source: RNAcentral